Molecule: ribosomal RNA, 1634 nt
Filed under: Klebsiella pneumoniae
Lineage: Bacteria; Pseudomonadati; Pseudomonadota; Gammaproteobacteria; Enterobacterales; Enterobacteriaceae
Description: bacterial LSU rRNA
Rfam family: Bacterial large subunit ribosomal RNA
Source: RNAcentral
GCAGCGACACUAUGUGUUGUUGGGUAGGGGAGCGUUCUGUAAGCCUGCGAAGGUGUGCUGUGAGGCAUGCUGGAGGUAUCAGAAGUGCGAAUGCUGACAUAAGUAACGAUAAAGCGGGUGAAAAGCCCGCUCGCCGGAAGACCAAGGGUUCCUGUCCAACGUUAAUCGGGGCAGGGUGAGUCGACCCCUAAGGCGAGGCCGAAAGGCGUAGUCGAUGGGAAACAGGUUAAUAUUCCUGUACUUGGUGUUACUGCGAAGGGGGGACGGAGAAGGCUAUGUUAGCCGGGCGACGGUUGUCCCGGUUUAAGCAUGUAGGCUGGUUAUCCAGGCAAAUCCGGAUAAUCAAGGCUGAGGUGUGAUGACGAGGCACUACGGUGCUGAAGUAACAAAUGCCCUGCUUCCAGGAAAAGCCUCUAAGCAUCAGGUAACAUCAAAUCGUACCCCAAACCGACACAGGUGGUCAGGUAGAGAAUACCAAGGCGCUUGAGAGAACUCGGGUGAAGGAACUAGGCAAAAUGGUGCCGUAACUUCGGGAGAAGGCACGCUGGUGUGUAGGUGAAGUCCCUGCGGAUGGAGCUGAGACCAGUCGAAGAUACCAGCUGGCUGCAACUGUUUAUUAAAAACACAGCACUGUGCAAACACGAAAGUGGACGUAUACGGUGUGACGCCUGCCCGGUGCCGGAAGGUUAAUUGAUGGGGUUAUCCGUAAGGAGAAGCUCUUGAUCGAAGCCCCGGUAAACGGCGGCCGUAACUAUAACGGUCCUAAGGUAGCGAAAUUCCUUGUCGGGUAAGUUCCGACCUGCACGAAUGGCGUAAUGAUGGCCAGGCUGUCUCCACCCGAGACUCAGUGAAAUUGAACUCGCUGUGAAGAUGCAGUGUACCCGCGGCAAGACGGAAAGACCCCGUGAACCUUUACUAUAGCUUGACACUGAACAUUGAGCCUUGAUGUGUAGGAUAGGUGGGAGGCUUUGAAGCGUGGACGCCAGUCUGCGUGGAGCCAACCUUGAAAUACCACCCUUUAAUGUUUGAUGUUCUAACGUUGGCCCCUGACCGGGGUUGCGGACAGUGUCUGGUGGGUAGUUUGACUGGGGCGGUCUCCUCCCAAAGCGUAACGGAGGAGCACGAAGGUUAGCUAAUCCUGGUCGGACAUCAGGAGGUUAGUGCAAUGGCAUAAGCUAGCUUGACUGCGAGCGUGACGGCGCGAGCAGGUGCGAAAGCAGGUCAUAGUGAUCCGGUGGUUCUGAAUGGAAGGGCCAUCGCUCAACGGAUAAAAGGUACUCCGGGGAUAACAGGCUGAUACCGCCCAAGAGUUCAUAUCGACGGCGGUGUUUGGCACCUCGAUGUCGGCUCAUCACAUCCUGGGGCUGAAGUAGGUCCCAAGGGUAUGGCUGUUCGCCAUUUAAAGUGGUACGCGAGCUGGGUUUAGAACGUCGUGAGACAGUUCGGUCCCUAUCUGCCGUGGGCGCUGGAGAAUUGAGGGGGGCUGCUCCUAGUACGAGAGGACCGGAGUGGACGCAUCACUGGUGUUCGGGUUGUCAUGCCAAUGGCACUGCCCGGUAGCUAAAUGCGGAAGAGAUAAGUGCUGAAAGCAUCUAAGCACGAAACUUGCCCCGAGAUGAGUUCUCCCUGAGACU